This 1203-nucleotide ribosomal RNA is filed under the name Nosema sp. RNAcentral describes it as "SSU rRNA". It matches the Rfam family "Microsporidia small subunit ribosomal RNA". The record is from RNAcentral. Lineage: Eukaryota; Fungi; Microsporidia; Nosematidae.
UGACGUAGACGCCAUUCCCUAAGAUUAACCCAUGCAUGUUUUUGACAUUUGAAAAAUGGACUGCUCAGUAAUACUCACUUUAUUUUAUGUACAUUUGAAAUUAACUACGUUAAAGUGUAGAUAAGUGUGUACAGUAAGAGUGAGACCUAUCAGCUAGUUGUUAAGGUAAUGGCUUAACAAGGCAGUGACGGGUAACGGUAUUACUUUGUAAUAUUCCGGAGAAGGAGCCUGAGAGACGGCUACUAAGUCUAAGGAUUGCAGCAGGGGCGAAACUUGACCUAUGGAUUUUAUCUGAGGCAGUUAUGGGAAGUAAUAUUAUAUUGUUUCAUAUUUUAAAAGUAUAUGAGGUGAUUAAUUGGAGGGCAAAUCAAGUGCCAGCAGCCGCGGUAAUACUUGUUCCAAGAGUGUGUAUGAUGAUUGAUGCAGUUAAAAAGUCCGUAGUUUAUAUUUAAGAAGCAAUAUGAGGUGUACUGUAUAGUUGGGAGAGAGAUGAAAUGUGACGACCCUGACUGGACGAACAGAAGCGAAAGCUGUACACUUGUAUGUAUUUUUUGAACAAGGACGUAAGCUGGAGGAGCGAAGAUGAUUAGAUACCAUUGUAGUUCCAGCAGUAAACUAUGCCGACGAUGUGAUAUGAAUAUUCUGUAUUACAUAAUAGAAAUUAGAGUUUUUUGGCUCUGGGGAUAGUAUGAUCGCAAGAUUGAAAAUUAAAGAAUUGACGGAAGAAUACCACAAGGAGUGGAUUGUGCGGCUUAAUUUGACUCAACGCGAGGUAACUUACCAAUAUUUUAUUAUUUUGAGAGGAUUUUUAAUCUGAGAAUGAUAAUAGUGGUGCAUGGCCGUUUUCAAUGGAUGCUGUGAAGUUUUGAUUAAUUUCAACAAGACGUGAGACCCUUUUAUUAUAGACGGACACAAUCAGUGUAGGAAGGAAAGGAUUAAAACAGGUCCGUUAUGCCCUCAGACAUUUUGGGCUGCACGCGCAAUACAAUAGAUAUAUGAUCUUUAUGGGAUAAUAUUUUGUAAGAGAUAUUUGAACUUGGAAUUGCUAGUAAAUUUUAUUAAAUAAGUAGAAUUGAAUGUGUCCCUGUUCUUUGUACACACCGCCCGUCGCUAUCUAAGAUGAUAUAUGUUGUGAAAUUAGUGAAAACUACUUGAACAAUAUGUAUUAGAUCUGAUAUAAGUCGUAACAUGGUUGCUGUUGGA